UUCCUCAAUUGCUACCUGGGACAUCUGCAAGCACUCUCUUGCCAAUGGUUUUAUUCCAGAACAUUUCCCCUGGCCCUCCAAGUACCCUUUUACAGGUUGCAGUAAAAAAUAAUCAACAACCAGUAUGGUAUUUCAAUGAUAAAAUCUAUUUCCACGUACUUUUCACCGAGGAUGGGAGGAUGGAGCGCUCCACUUUUCUUGCCAGUAUGGUAUUUCUAUGAUAAAAUCUAUUUCCACGUACUUUUCACCGAGGAUGGAAGGAUGGAGCGCUCCACUUUUCUUGAGGUAACAAUACCUUGUUGAAUUCCUAUUUAGAUUUAUGCAUUGGUUACUGUUUGGGUUGAGGCAUAUACUGAUUGUUGAUUGAUGUAUGUAUUACUACCAUCCACUCAAAUUAAUGGGGGCAUAACAUGUGUGAGCCUUGGCUUUGAUUUUCUCGCCUCAGAGGAAUUAUUUAUCAUCUCUUGCUGCUCCUAUUAAUUAAAAAUUAUCCUUAGCUUUCGCGUUUACUCUGCAUUUUUUUUGUUGAAGAAGAAUAAUGCAGAGUAAAUGUGACAGCUAGCUGCAAUUAAAACUGCAUUCUUGAGAGUUCCGCUUCCAACAAAUGACUGGACUCCUCUCAACUCCACUCCUUUAUAGAUUUGUUUCACUGCCUCUUUUUCUUUAUUCUCCAUUUU
This 677-nucleotide long non-coding RNA is filed under the name Nicotiana benthamiana. RNAcentral describes it as "long non-coding RNA (NBEN_LNC027676)". Lineage: Eukaryota; Viridiplantae; Streptophyta; Magnoliopsida; Solanales; Solanaceae. The record is from RNAcentral.